AAGAUCUUCAUGUAACUGGCUGAAAAAUGGUUCCGCAAGAUGACAACACCAACUCUAACACUGUUAAAAUGGAGACUAUCUUCACUUUGACAUGAUGUGUGGAGUUUGUUAGCACUUUUUGUUGGUUUUUUUACAGUUAUUGUGGAAGGUUACAAAUGGUGUGGGUUUUUGUCAUGAAUCGAAUGAGCUCCCAGAGCAGUUCAUCCACUCAGCGUAGGCGAAUGGCUCUAGGAAUUGUCAUUCUUCUCCUCGUUGACGUGAUAUGGGUUGCCUCUUCAGAACUCACUUCUUAUGUUUUUACAAAGUACAACAAACCUUUUUUCAGUACAUUUGCAAAAACAUCCAUGUUUGUUCUAUACCUCUUGGGAUUUAUUGUUUGGAAACCAUGGAGGCAACAGUGUACUCGUGGGUUUCGUGGAAGGCAUGCAGCUUUUUUUGCAGAUGCUGAAGGUUAUUUUGCUGCUUGUACGACAGAUAACACUGUAAACAGUUCUCUGGUAAGUGCCUUAAUUUGUGAAGGUCAAUGCUUUACAGUAACAUGAUGCCA
This is a non-coding RNA of Pelecanus crispus (Dalmatian pelican), 547 nucleotides long. NCBI's taxonomy places the organism in Eukaryota, Metazoa, Chordata, Aves, Pelecaniformes, Pelecanidae. The record is from RefSeq and is a predicted model, not a curated record.